AUUGAACGCUGGCGGCAGGCCUAACACAUGCAAGUCGAGCGGAUGACAGGAGCUUGCUCCUGAAUUCAGCGGCGGACGGGUGAGUAAUGCCUAGGAAUCUGCCUGGUAGUGGGGGACAACGUUUCGAAAGGAACGCUAAUACCGCAUACGUCCUACGGGAGAAAGCAGGGGACCUUCGGGCCUUGCGCUAUCAGAUGAGCCUAGGUCGGAUUAGCUAGUUGGUGAGGUAAUGGCUCACCAAGGCGACGAUCCGUAACUGGUCUGAGAGGAUGAUCAGUCACACUGGAACUGAGACACGGUCCAGACUCCUACGGGAGGCAGCAGUGGGGAAUAUUGGACAAUGGGCGAAAGCCUGAUCCAGCCAUGCCGCGUGUGUGAAGAAGGUCUUCGGAUUGUAAAGCACUUUAAGUUGGGAGGAAGGGCAGUAAAUUAAUACUUUGCUGUUUUGACGUUACCGACAGAAUAAGCACCGGCUAACUCUGUG
Molecule: ribosomal RNA, 484 nt
Filed under: well water enrichment culture
Lineage: Bacteria
Description: bacterial SSU rRNA
Rfam family: Bacterial small subunit ribosomal RNA
Source: RNAcentral